Mesocricetus auratus (golden hamster) is the source of this 359-nucleotide long non-coding RNA. RefSeq lists it as uncharacterized. The transcript has 3 exons. NCBI's taxonomy places the organism in Eukaryota, Metazoa, Chordata, Mammalia, Rodentia, Cricetidae. The record is from RefSeq and is a predicted model, not a curated record.
AUUGCAGCUGCCAUAGGGGUAAGAAGUCCGGACCCUUUUCUCUGGAUGGCUAAAAUCAUAAUGAUUGCUGAGCAACGGCUGCCUGGAACACAGCAUGGCGCAGGCAUCUCGGGGGAAUGGGUGGUUUCUUGUGAAAUUAAACACGCACGAAUCUCCACUUUGAUCCAGCAGUUCCACUCUCAGAGAAACGAAAACACAGACCACAAGAUGGCUUGUGCACCAAGGCAUAUAGGUGACUGAAGGAUCCUCAAGCUCCUCUCUUCCCAUUUCCAUCCGCCUGAAGCCACACCCAAAGGGGUGUGGCCAUCGUUUCAGGUCCUCAGACCAGAUGCCUACAGGUGACUCUAUCCCCAUUAAAC